Long non-coding RNA from Mauremys reevesii (Reeves's turtle), 379 nucleotides. RefSeq lists it as uncharacterized. The transcript has 3 exons. The record is from RefSeq and is a predicted model, not a curated record. Lineage: Eukaryota; Metazoa; Chordata; Testudines; Geoemydidae.
CCAGUCAAGAUCGCACGCUGUCAUCUCUCUCCGGGGCUGUAACCUGCUCCAGGAAGGGGGAGAGACCUCUGCUCUGCUCUCCUGGCUGAUCUGAGGAGCUGCCAGCUAGUCACUCAUUCCCUCCUUGUCUACCUGCAGAUAUCAUCUCACUCAGGCUCUUGAGAGAGGAUCCUAUUCCACCGUACUCUGUGACAUGAUAUCUCUUGGGCAGUGUCUUAACUGCAACGGAGGUGUGGUUUUACAUCGAGCUAACUCUUGCCUAGAAGCUGAACCCUAGGUGCCUUUAUACAUUUUUCCCUGAUGCCUCAUUUCUAUGGGGACCAGCUGUGGUCUCCAAAAAGCUUGAGGUUAUGUCAAUGUCCAGCAUUCUACUCAAGAG